ACCUCAAGUCAUGUGAGAGUACCCGCUGAACUUAAGCAUAUCAAUAAGCGGAGGAAAAGAAACUAACAAGGAUUCCCCUAGUAACGGCGAGUGAAGCGGGAAGAGCACAAAUUUAAAAUCUACCUGGUUUUCAGGUCGAGUUGUAAUUUGAAGAUACGUUUUUGACGUUCAGGGUUGGACUAAAUCCUUUGGGAUAAGGUAUCAUGGAGGGUGAGAAUCCCGUAUAUACCAACCAUAGGGAUGUUAUUUAAUACGUUUCUAAGAGUCGAGUUGUUUGGGAAUGCAGCUCUAAAUGGGUGGUAAAUUUCACCUAAUGCUAAAUAUAAGCGAGAGACCGAUAGCGAACAAGUACAGUGAUGGAAAGAUGAAAAGAACUUUGAAAAGAGAGUUAAAUAGUACGUGAAAUUGUUGAAAGGGAAACGAUUGAAGUCAGUCAUGCCAGUGGGAAUCAACUUAGAGGAAACUCUAGGUGCACUUCUUCGCUUGGCAGGUUAGUGUCGAUUUUGGAUGUCAUAAAAUGACUGGGGGAAGGUAGCUCCUUUGGGAGUGUUAUAGCCCUUGGUAGAUGUGAUGUCUGGAAUCGAGGAUUGCAACGGAUACCCUUUAGGGCUAGUCACCUGAUCUCUAAUUAGUGCUAGAUUACGGACAGCAUGCUGACCGUGAUUUAAUUAUUGGUUAAAAGGUUAGAGUGCACAUAAAUUCGUUAAGGACACUGACGUAAUGGCUUUAAACGACCCGUCUUGAAACACGGACCAAGGAGUCUAACAUGUAUGCGAGUGUU
RNAcentral lists this ribosomal RNA (781 nucleotides) under Gigaspora rosea. RNAcentral's name for it is "eukaryotic LSU rRNA". It matches the Rfam family "Eukaryotic large subunit ribosomal RNA", at positions 1 to 694 of the family's 3401-position model. The record is from RNAcentral. Lineage: Eukaryota; Fungi; Glomeromycota; Glomeromycetes; Diversisporales; Gigasporaceae.